UAGGCCUCAAGUGAUG
RNAcentral lists this ribosomal RNA (16 nucleotides) under Anopheles funestus (African malaria mosquito). RNAcentral's name for it is "partial 28S ribosomal RNA". The record is from RNAcentral. Lineage: Eukaryota; Metazoa; Arthropoda; Insecta; Diptera; Culicidae.